UACAUGUGGGGCAAGCGUUGUUCGGAAUUACUGGGCAUAAAGGGUGCGUAGGUGGUUUGUUAAGUCAGGGGUGAAAUCCCGCGGCCCAACCGUGGAACUGCCUUUGAUACUGGCGAACUUGAGUGCGUGAGGGGUAGGGGGAACGAGCAGUGUAGCGGUGAAAUGCGUAGAUAUUGCUCGGAAGGCCAGAGCCGAAGGGGCCCUACUGGUACGUAACUGACGCUGAGGCACGAAAGCGUGGGGAGCAAACAGG
Molecule: ribosomal RNA, 253 nt
Filed under: uncultured bacterium
Lineage: Bacteria
Description: partial 16S ribosomal RNA
Rfam family: Bacterial small subunit ribosomal RNA
Source: RNAcentral